AUGGUUGCUCGCCUCUGGAACCACCUCCCCGACAUCUCCUCUGCGCCCAUGAGCCUCGAUGCCCUUGUUGUUGUUGCUGCUAGACCACCACGGCGCCAUCUUGGAGACCAUGGCCACCAUCGAGACCUCCCGGAACCGUCAAGACGUGCACAUGGAGACCCUGGAUUCGACAAGCCCCUCACGGUGACCCUGAACAGCUACAGGACAUGCACGACUUCGAAUCGUGUACCACGUCGAACAUGUACGACUACACAACGAACCGCCAAGACCCUGAACGACUACCGCCGCCGAAGUCCGCGAGUACCACUACGUUUGCCAUGUGCAUCUACACCAAGACCGGACCAACAAGUACCGCGAGAACGUUUGUACCUCUACCGUCGCCGUGGAUCCGACAAGUACCCCUACAACAAGUGUACCUCUACCGUCGUCUUCGGAAUCGCUAAGAAUGUCAAGUACCCCUCGAGAUGA
RNAcentral lists this ribosomal RNA (468 nucleotides) under Triticum aestivum (bread wheat). RNAcentral's name for it is "partial small subunit ribosomal RNA". Lineage: Eukaryota; Viridiplantae; Streptophyta; Magnoliopsida; Poales; Poaceae. The record is from RNAcentral.